GUUUAAGGUUUACGGUUUGGGUUUAGGGUCUAGGACUUGGGUUUAGGGUAUAGAGUUUAGGUUUAUAGUCAAGUUUUUGGGUUCAGGAUAUAUAAUUUGUGUUUAGGGUCUAGGAUUAGGGUUUAGGGUAUAGGGUUUGGGUUUAGGGGUUUGGAUUUGAGUUUAGAAUUUAGGGUGUAUGGUUUAGAAUUUAAGAUUUAGGGUUUAGGGUUUAGCUGGAAGCGUUAGCGUCGUUAAAAUUAACGUUUUUAUUUUUUGCAGCUAUUUUUAAUUUAAUUUAAUAUUUUUUAAUUAAUAAUAUAUGUGUCACUUUAAUUGGUCGUAAAGGGUGGAGUUAAUUUAGGGGGUAAACUUAAUUUCUGUCCUUUAACGGAAUGUGUGAAUGCUAUGUAUAUUACGUAAUUAUGAAAGAAUUAAUGUCACAAAUAUGCCUUAUAUAUCUUUGACGUUAUAUAAUAGGUAUAACAUUAUGUAUAACACACAGAAGCAAGAUUUGCAGAAAAGUCAGGUGCUAAACAAUUAGGAGUUUGCUGUAUUUUAGUUAACGCUGCAAAUGCGCUCUCGUAUCCUUUUCUUGAACUUAAUAAUAGGUAUAAUAAGAAUCAUAAAUAUCUAUACACAAAGGUAAGAUGCCUACCAGCCUAGGUUUAACCAUAAAGCAAUUGGGAUUUUGACAUGUACCGAUGGAUCU
This 691-nucleotide long non-coding RNA is filed under the name Brassica napus (rape). Its description in RNAcentral is "long non-coding RNA (BNAP_LNC018133)". The record is from RNAcentral. Lineage: Eukaryota; Viridiplantae; Streptophyta; Magnoliopsida; Brassicales; Brassicaceae.